CUGUUGGUUUCUGAUUUCCCUCACUGAGCAGCAACUGCAGUCACAAGACAUUGUUUUACAUUCCACAGUCUGUACUGUUGGAGUUUCUCACGGGAAAGGGAGACUGGAUGUGACGUACACUGGUUUCCUGUUUUUUCACUGUGUGAUUCUCUCCGAGCUGAGAGAGGAGAGAGGAUGCAUUUUCUGCUCUUGCAGAGGCAAGAUGUCUUUCUGUAAUAUACCAGCUUUGAACUGUAAAUAAAGCAAUAUAGAGUAUGUAGCACGUAUUACUCAUCCUUCCGCUGGGCACGACAGGCUCUGCUUUAAAUCAACACGUGGUUAUGGACUCCAGAGGUCGAAUCGGAGUGCCGGCAAAGGAUCGGAAUGCAGAGGGACGGAUCAGAAAGGAAUCUGCUCUGCGCGUAGAAGUGAUUGAUGAGGUAUGUGCUACUGCUCCGGGCAGCCUGCCAGCUUCAAGUUAAUGGCUUUAUGGCUGGACUUUGAACUUUUAAAGCCGGUUUUGCCGGGAAUAGGCAAAAGGCUCCCAGGCACAAGUCACUAUGCUGGGGAAAUCGAAAGUAACUUUUAAGUGCGCCUUUGUAAUGAGGCAGCUGCAGCAGUGACGCAGCAAGAUUUAAAGCAGCAUAUGACGCUGAAGGCUAAUGCCAGAGUCAUGAUGGCCCUUCAGGAUGCUUGUGGGAUUCCUAAGCUCAACAAGAAAAAUUACAGCGACUGGGUUCAGUAUGCAGAGGCAAUUCUGCGGAAAGAGGGUUUGUUUGAGGUGAUUACAGAAACCCCCAGUUCCAGUUACAGAUGCAUGGGAAGCUAAGGAUUCCAAAGCAAGGGGAACUCUUACAUUGAUAGUAUCCCCAGAAGAGCUCUGUCUAUUGCGUGAUAAGACCUCAGCCAGAGAAGUUUGGGACGCUCUGAGAGAGGCUCACUUAAGGACAGAAGCUGGAUCCACUAUGUUUUAUUUUAACAAGCUGCACAAUAUGGCUCUUGCUGAAGGUGGAGAUGUGCGUUUACAUCUGAUGCAGAUGCAAAAUCUGAGACAUGAGCUGCAACAGAGAGGACUCAACUUUCCAGAGGCUGUGUAUUCUUUCAUGAUACUACAAUCUUUGGGUUCAGGUUGGGAGUCUGUUGCAACCCAGAUUGCUGUGCAACCAACUGCUCAGCUGACAGUGGACUUUGUUACUGCCGUGAUUUUAAAUGAAGCAGAUCGCCGGGUGCUAGCUGCAUGGGCAAGGGGAGUCUUCACAGACGUCAUCCCAUAGUGCAGUGGAACCACCAGAUGGCGCCAAAGCUUUGAAGGCAGUGAAAUGCCACUCGUGUGGACGUCUAGGCCAUAUGAAGAGGGAAUGCAGACAUCCCAGGGCCAAGACAGAGCAGCGCAGCGAAAGCUCAUCGCGCGGAAAAGGCCGAGGCAAAGGCAAAGGUCCGGUGUCUAGGACAACGCAGCACAAGGCUAUGGUUUCACGCUUCACUCCAAAGGUUGCAGAGGUCCAGAAGACGUCUAGAUCUUUCUUCGUUGUUGAUUCAGCGGCCACCCACCACAUGUGCAACGAUAAGAAACUGUUUGUGUCUUUUACACCGCAGGAAGGUGCGAUUCACCAGGCGGAUGACCACACUAUUCCCAGUAAAGGCUACGGAACUGUUGUUCUUCACAGUUUGGACUUAUCGAUACAGAAUGUGCUUUACGUGCCAGACGCCAAACAUAAUCUGCUCAGCGUUGGACAGCUGAAUGAGCGGAACAUUGACGUUUCCUUCAAGAACAAGAAGUGCAUCAUCACAAAGAAAAAUGAUUAUGUAUUGCAUGCAGAAUAUGUUGAUCAUUUGUUUGUUUUGUAUUAUGAUGAUGUGGUGCAGGAUGACACUUGUUGCAUUGCAGGUUCUAACAAAAGUUUGCAUGCAGAAUGUAUUCACGAUUUUCAUCGCAAAUUUGGUCAUUUGCAUUUUGAGGCAGUAUCUAAAAUGCCUGCCUUGGUUGAAGGUAUGACUAUUAAACCCUGCAGGUACCACAUGAAGUGCAAAGCAUGCGCAGCAAACAAGGUGAAAAUGGCUGCGAAAGGUAAGGUGUCUAGUAGGAAAGCUACAGAACCAUACCAGGUUGUUCAUGCUGAUUUGGUUGGACCACUUGCGCCCUCUUUGGGUGGAAAUAGAUACUUCAUGGUUCUCAUUGAUGCAUUUUCUAGAUAUAUUUUUGUGUACAAUCUCAAGCAGAAAUCGGAGGCUUUUCCUAGGUUCAAGGAAUUCUGUGCUUGGUUGGAAAAUGUGCAUGGUAAGAAGAUAAAGACUCUUUUCAGUGAUCGCGGGGGGGGAAUUCACUUCUCAGCAGUUUGAAGCUUUUCUGACUGAGAAAGGAAUUCAACACGAUUUGUCUAGUCCUCGCUCGCCAUGGCAGAAUGGACUUGCGGAACGGGCAAAUCAGACAUUGCUUCAAGGAUUAAAAACCUUGCUGCAUGAUGCCAAUCUUCCAGAGAGUUAUUGGGCCGAAUCUCUCUCGUGUUUUGUUUACAGUUACAAUCGCAGGUUAUCUUCAGCGAUUGGUUGUACCUCUAUGAGAAGAUGUUUGGCAAGAAGCCAUACAUCAAACACAUGAAGAUUUUUGGUUCUGACAUGUGGGUUCGCUCACCACAAAACUCCAAGUUAGACAAGCGUGGAUUGCAUGGUAUCUUUCUAGGUUAUCAGAAAGGGUCUUACAGAAUAAUGAUGACUGACUCUAAGACAAUUAAGCUCACGAGAAGUGUUGAGUACAAUGCAAAGUGGGGGGAGAAGGUGGGAAUUUUCCAAUGUUAUCCUGAUGACGGUGAUGAGACUGAGGAUAGUCAAAAGCAACCACAACAGCCCACACCCACUGAUGAAGGUUCUGAGUCUGAAUCUGAAACUGAAUCGGGUGAUUCAGAGGAUUUCAAGAGUGCGAAAGCCUCUAUGCGACCCUCUGAAAGCUCUGAUCAAGAAUUGGAGGAACCAUUGUUCACAAUAGGUCGUUUUUCUCCUAAGAAGGAAGAGGAGAGUGUUGAAGACUUAAGGCUAAUUCGUAGGUCACAGAGAGCCACAAAAGGCAAACCUCCAAAGAGAUUUGCUGAUGAGUUUGCUAAGAUAGCAGUAACAGCUGUUAAAAGCUCCAAGAAGGUAUUUGAACCUUCAAGUUUCCAAGAAAUCCAGGGUUUGGAUUCAAAGGAAGCUGAGCCAUGGUUAAAUGCCAUGAAGGCUGAGCUUGAUUCCUUAGAAAGGAACAAAACAUGGGAGCUAGUUCCAGUAGUUCCAGGAAUGAAACUGCUUGGAAGCAAAUGGGUCUUCAAAGCGAAGACAGAUCAAAAUGGCAAGAUAGUCAGACACAAAGCCAGAUUGGUAGCCAGAGGUUUUGCACAGGUACCAGGUGAAGACUAUCACGAGACCUAUUCACCCACAGUGAGAUAUGAAAGCAUUAGGCUUAUGCUCAAGCUAGCUGCAGAGGAAAAUCUACACAUUAGUCACCAUGAUAUUAAUACAGCUUUUCUGUACGGAUCUCUAGAUGAAUCACUUUAUAUGCUUCCACCUGAUGGCGUACAGGUAAAACAGGGAUUUGUUUGUGCUCUGAAGAAAUCCCUUUAUGGUCUCAAACAAAGUGCACGGUGUUGGCACACAAAACUCACUGAAGUAUUGUUUUCUCUAGGUUUUCAGCAAGGGAAAGCUGAUCCAUGUGUAUUUGUCAAAGAGGAGGGGCAAAAGAAACUGUACUGUUUGUUUUAUGUUGAUGAUUUAUUAUUCUUUUGGAAAGAUGUUGCAAUGUACAAUAGCGCCCUAGCUCAACUGAAAGAGCACUUUGACAUGAAAGAUCUUGGUGAGGUAAACAACUACCUAUCUCUGGAAAUAGAGAGAGAUCAAGAUGGUAACAUUCUAGUACACCAGUCACGGAAAAUUGCUGAUGUGUUAAGCAAACUAAAUCUGAUGGAUGCUAACCCUGUAGACACACCGAUGACAACAGGUUAUCAGGUAGAUGACACUGAAGAAGCAUUUUCUGACACUACACUGUACAGGAGUGUGCUAGGCAAGCUAAACUUCAUUGCCAGAUGUUCAAGACCAGACAUUGCUGUUAGCUGUAAUUUGCUAAGCAGACAAGUCAACAAUCCUAGUGUCAAGGAUUGGAAAGCUCUGAAACGCAUCGCGCGGUAUUUGAAAGGCACUAUGCAUUACAGACUGAGAUUUAACAAUCAGAAGUCUGGUGGUCUUGAGAUAUUUGCAGAUGCAAGUUUUGGAAGUGACGCUACAGACAGGAAAAGUACGUCUGGAGUUUGCUACAUGUACAAUCAGAGUCUGUUUGAUUGGUCAUGCAAGAAGCAAACAACAGUUAGCUUAAGUACUUGUGAAGCUGAACUGAAUGCACUGUCUUAUUCACUUAAGGAUUGUGAAUGGUUAGUACAAUUGUGCAAAGAUAUGAAAAUUCCUGUCAAAUGUCCAAUCCAGGUUUACCAGGACAACAAAGCAUGUUUGGCUUUGCUGAAGUCUGAAGGUUGUAAGCAAAGCACAAAGCACUUGCAAUUAAAGUUGCAGCAUGCUAGGGAAUGUAUUCAGAAGGGACUCGUAACGGUGUCCUAUAUGCCAGGUAAUGAAAUUCCUGCUGAUGUAUUGUCCAAGAUUGUAUCAAGGGAUCAACACUGUACCUAUGUGCAGAAGUUGGGUUUGUACUGAUACUGUACGAACACGCUGCCCAGUGAUGUUCACAGAAAGGGGGAGGAUGUUGGUUUCUGAUUUCCCUCACUGAGCAGCAACUGCAGUCACAAGACAUUGUUUUACAUUCCACAGUCUGUACUGUUGGAGUUUCUCACGGGAAAGGGAGACUGGAUGUGACGUACACUGGUUUCCUGUUUUUCACUGUGUGAUUCUCUCCGAGCUGAGAGAGGAGAGAGGAUGCAUUUUCUGCUCUUGCAGAGGCAAGAUGUCUUUCUGUAAUAUACCAGCUUUGAACUGUAAAUAAAGCAAUAUAGAGUAUGUAGCACGUAUUACUCAUCCUUCCGCUGGGCACGACAGGCUCUGCUUUAAAUCAACA
This 5008-nucleotide long non-coding RNA is filed under the name Podarcis lilfordi (Lilford's wall lizard). Lineage: Eukaryota; Metazoa; Chordata; Lepidosauria; Squamata; Lacertidae. The record is from RNAcentral.